Molecule: ribosomal RNA, 254 nt
Filed under: uncultured bacterium
Lineage: Bacteria
Description: partial 16S ribosomal RNA
Rfam family: Bacterial small subunit ribosomal RNA
Source: RNAcentral
UACGUAGGGUCCAAGCGUUGUCCGGAUUUAUUGGGCGUAAAGAGCUCGUAGGCGGUUUCGUAAGUCGGUUGUGAAAACUCAGGGCUCAACCCGGAGACGCCAUCUGAUACUGCGAUGACUUGAGUCUGGUAGGGGAUCACGGAAUUCCUGGUGUAGCGGUGAAAUGCGCAGAUAUCAGGAGGAACACCGAUGGCGAAGGCAGUGAUCUGGGCCAGUACUGACGCUGAGGAGCGAAAGCGUGGGGAGCAAACAGG